RNAcentral lists this ribosomal RNA (250 nucleotides) under uncultured prokaryote. RNAcentral describes it as "partial 16S ribosomal RNA". It matches the Rfam family "Bacterial small subunit ribosomal RNA", at positions 524 to 773 of the family's 1533-position model. The record is from RNAcentral.
UACGGAGGAUCCGAGCGUUAUCCGGAAUGACUGGGCGUAAAGGGCGUGUAGGCGGCUCUAUAAGUCUGGAGUGAAAGUCCCGCUUUCAAGGUGGGAACUGCUUUGGAUACUGUAGAGCUUGAGUGCGGAAGAGGUAAGUGGAAUUCCCAGUGUAGCGGUGAAAUGCGUAGAGAUUGGGAGGAACACCAGUGGCGAAGGCGACUUACUGGGCCGUAACUGACGCUGAGGCGCGAAAGCGUGGGGAGCGAAC